CCAUAAGUCGAUUACUCGUGUUGAGUAGAUAUAUUUUCAUGUCAAGAUCAUUGAAUUUGGUGGAGAAUGAAGAAGUUAUAGGCUUUGAAAAUUACAUAGUUUUCUCGUGAUUAUCCCCAUAUUCCGGACGCUAUGAAGGUAGCAGGCGGUGGCACCAGCGACCAGAGACACUUAGGAGACCGGGGAAUAUUCCGCUAAGUUUAAUAGAAUAUACCGUUCCGGGGACAAUUAAAAAAUAAAUGAUUAACCAUACACUUAAAGUCAGGGCCGGCCCUAAGGGUAGCCCAAGUAGGUGCCCGCUUAGGGCCCCCACUUUGGAAGGGCUCCCAAAAAAAUUUUAUAUCCUAUAAUUAACAUAUAAAUACAAAAAAAAAAGUAAGAAAUAUCAUAAUUCAUUUGUUAGUGCAGUGGAAAUGUUGCUUCAUUUUUGUUGGGGUGUUGAGUUCGAAACGCGAAGCUGUCUUUUUAGUCACUAGAUUUUUCUUGUUUUUCAAAUCUACUGCCAAUCCAUUUGUCUAAAUGCAUAUAAAGUUAUUAAAUGUCUCUUUGCAAUCUUUUUUCUUUCAACUUCUCAUUCUCUCAAUUUCUAUCGAAUGUUUAAACCAACUUCCCAUUCUCUCAAUUUCUAUUGAAUGUUUAAACCAACUAUCAUAUGGUCUUAAAGAUUGUACUUUAAGGUAAUCAAAACUUUGAAUUUUAUAUUUUUCUUUUCAAUAACUUUUUAUUCAAUGGAUUAUUUUAAUAUUUAAUUCGUUAGUGUGAUGUUGAUUUUAGAAGAAAAAAAAAACACAAGAGAAACAAUUGGCAUUGAAUUUAUUAUACUCGUCAAUCAAGUUUUAUUGUUAUUUACUCUCUUGAUCAUUAAGUUUUGUUGUUCUUCACUCUCAAUCUUAAACUCUUGACUGCAAAGAUUUAGUACAUUUGUGUUUUAAAAAAAGUGAAUCGUGUAAUGUUUGAAUAAUGUUUGUAUAUUUAUUUUCUUUUGAUAUUAAUUGUUAAUGAUAUUUGAUGUGAAAAUAGGACUUUUUACGUAUUUAGCGAAUUUUUUUUUAUACAAAUCAAUAUAC
This 1067-nucleotide long non-coding RNA is filed under the name Malus domestica (apple). Its description in RNAcentral is "long non-coding RNA (MDOM_LNC014782)". The record is from RNAcentral. Lineage: Eukaryota; Viridiplantae; Streptophyta; Magnoliopsida; Rosales; Rosaceae.